GACCCUUCGGGAGCUUGUACAGGUGCUGCAUGGCUGUCGUCAGCUCGUGUCGUGAGAUGUCGGUUAAGUCCGCUAACGAGCGCAACCCUCGCUGUGUGUUACAAGUGUCACACGGAACUGCCGGUCAUAAACCGGAGGAAGGUGGGGAUGACGUCAAGUCAGCAUGGCCUUUAUAUCCUGGGCUACACGACACGCUACAAUGGGAAGGGACAAUAGGUUGCGAAGCCGCGAGGCGGAGCCAAUCCAGCAAAACUUCCCUCAGUUCAGAUUGCAGGCUGCAACUCGCCUGCAUGAAGUUGGAGUUGCUAGUAAACGCAGGUCAGCCAUACUGCGUUGAAUACGUUCCCGGGGCUU
This 354-nucleotide ribosomal RNA is filed under the name uncultured Anaerolineaceae bacterium. RNAcentral's name for it is "bacterial SSU rRNA". It matches the Rfam family "Bacterial small subunit ribosomal RNA", at positions 1014 to 1382 of the family's 1533-position model. Lineage: Bacteria; Bacillati; Chloroflexota; Anaerolineae; Anaerolineales; Anaerolineaceae. The record is from RNAcentral.